UACAGAGGGGGCAAGCGUUAUUCGGAAUUAUUGGGCGUAAAGGGCGCGUAGGCGGCUUGCAAGUGGAAGGUGAAAUCCCUCGGCUCAACUGAGGAACUGCCUUCCAGACUGCUUUGCUUGAGUCCGGGAGAGGUGAGUGGAACUGCGAGUGUAGAGGUGAAAUUCGUAGAUAUUCGCAAGAACACCAGUGGCGAAGGCGGCUCACUGGCCCGGUACUGACGCUGAGGUGCGAAAGCGUGGGGAGCGAACAGG
RNAcentral lists this ribosomal RNA (252 nucleotides) under uncultured bacterium. RNAcentral's name for it is "partial 16S ribosomal RNA". It matches the Rfam family "Bacterial small subunit ribosomal RNA", at positions 524 to 776 of the family's 1533-position model. The record is from RNAcentral.